UGCUAAUAAUACCUGUCUGUUUUCUUGUUGAAUUUUUACAGAAGAUGACAUAGUCCUGUCAUGGCGUAUGUGAAAAAUUUUUAAGACAGCUGACUAAAAGGCAUGUGAAAUGUGAAUUUCCUAAUUGCUUAUAGUCACUAAAAAGCACAGUGUGGCGUAUCAAUCCAGACUGUGCAGAUACGCUACACUGCAGUACCUCUUAAUAUGAGAUAUUCAUUUCUAAAGUCUGUGUGCAAAGUGACACAGCAGUGGCCAGUGGAAAUGCUUCGGCAGAUGAAAAGUCUCUGGGAGUCCACCUGCCCAACAGCCUCCUGGAAUGUUCACUGUGCAGAUGAGCUUCUGAGACAUGGCUGGAACUGCUGCUAA
This 366-nucleotide long non-coding RNA is filed under the name Chrysolophus pictus (golden pheasant). Its description in RNAcentral is "lncRNA (ENSCPIG00010005480.1)". The record is from RNAcentral. Lineage: Eukaryota; Metazoa; Chordata; Aves; Galliformes; Phasianidae.